GUAAGACGCGCUAUUUUGUUGUCAUCACAUCCCUGAAAUUACACACGCAGAGAUGUAUUUCGGCCACCCCACCUUGGAGUGGCCUUUU
This 88-nucleotide small RNA is filed under the name Plesiomonas shigelloides 302-73. Its description in RNAcentral is "MicA sRNA". It matches the Rfam family "MicA sRNA". Lineage: Bacteria; Pseudomonadati; Pseudomonadota; Gammaproteobacteria; Enterobacterales; Enterobacteriaceae. The record is from Rfam by way of RNAcentral.